ACUGCCAGCUCAGCUCGUAGGAUUUAUUUAUUUUUUCUUCUGCAGAGAGAAACGCAGUUGACCUCCCAAGGAAACAAAAGGGAAGAAUUUCCUGGCCAAUUGUCUGGGGGGAAUAACAGGAACUGAGCUAGUAACGGCCCAAACAAACAGCGCUCAGUGGUGAGGAGUGGCCUUCGGGACAGGACCAGGAGGGAAUGGGACCUCAGCAUCAUCUCUCCCUGUCCCCAGCCGCCACCACUGCAACUCUGCUGUCCCUGCCCGGGGCUCUGGGGCCCAUGGAGGACUGGGGCUGACUCCCAUGAUAACAGCAGCGUCUGCUAUAGACCUUGAACUUGAAAGGUACAUGGGGCAAGGAAUUAAAAGGCUUAGGCUGAGAGCCAGAGACACCAAGGCUGGAGGCCCUGUGACACCCUGGACAGGUCACAGCACCUGUGAUCUCUGAUCCUGCCCGCUGGAUCCCACAAAGAUGGGGUGAUGACUUGAAGGCUCCCCAACAACGACCUCUGCGAAGGGCUCUGCCGAAGGUGAAGUGAUGGGCGGACACGGUGGGGCAGGGCCGCUCCUCCCCGCGGCAACAUCACUCACCCCCGCGCAGCUCGCCAGCCCCAGAGGCAGGUCCUACUGUUCUUCCCACUUCCCAGCUGGAGGACCUGGUGCAGUCUCUAUGGUGAUGUCACGGACCACACCUGGGCGCAAGCCAGGACAGUGACGGCUGGGAGGCCCGCCCCGCAGCGUCUGGUUCCUGAGGCUGGCCCAGCCUCCCAGAGUAGCCUCGGCUGUCACCAAAAGCCUCCCCAAGCUGAGUGUCCUCUCUGCGAGGAUGGGUGUUUCCUCCGUUGGAUUCAUUGCUGUGUCCUCGGUGCUCGGAACGGUGCCUGGCACAGAGCAGGUGCCUAACGAACAUCUGUGGACUGAGUACGUGAACGACCAUCACUGCCCUCACCCCACAGCCAACCCACCGGAGUCGGCUGGCACCUAGGCAGCCGCUGUGGAUGGGAUGAGAUGUGACUGGGGGUGGGGGGGGUGGGUCACACUGCACACAGCCUGGCCCAUCGCUGUCAUGACCUGCCCAGCCCAGAUUUUUCUUGCUCACGUCCUGUCCCAUGCCCGUAGUACUCAGCAAGCACCUGCUAGGUCACCACCCUCCGCAGGCUGGAGAGGCCCCCACCUGGCCUCAGCCCGGCAGAGUCCCAGCUCAAACCAGUCGUGUCCAGGACAGCCCAAGCCAACCACCUGCACCCAGGUCACAUCAGGCCACGGGGAUCCCCCUGUUUAAACCGGAUGCUGAGUGCAAAUGUUCUGUGAACCCUGAAGCGUCUGGCUUUGGGUUCUUGUCCAUGAAGAGCUCACCGGGACCCCGAGGCUCACCCGUGGUGGGGGUGGGGGAGCCCUGCCGAACCCCAGGCCUCACGGCGGGGGGACCUGUCCCUGAGCACAGCUCACAGGCCGGGGGCCACCCCAAGACCUGCCUACCUGGACGUGCACCUGAGCCCAGCAUGUGGCAAGCGCAGGGAAAAUGUAAAAGGCAAGUGCCACCGAGGUCCGCCGGGAGGUGGGUCUCACUGCAGAGAGGACAAGACAGCGGAGCCCUGACUCCCUGGCUGCUCUGGCACCAACACCGAACCUCCUCAGGUUACAGUUUAAGCUCAGAAGGAAACGGGGUGGGGAGGGAGGGCUGGGCGUGACUCUGUGCAGUGGGAGCCCCGGGAAGGUGGGACAGUCAGCUCGGGCGGGUGGCCCCCGCCCCGGGACUGUAUUGCCAAGUGCUGGCUGGCCUGGCCGGGUUUAGGCUCAGGCAGACCGGACCCCUGGGAGCAGGUAUGUGCCCCCAGCAACCCCACAGGCAAAAUCUACAGGACAAGUGAAAAGAGUGUUUUUUCCAAAUAAAACCAAU
This is a long non-coding RNA of Phyllostomus hastatus (greater spear-nosed bat), 1894 nucleotides long. RefSeq lists it as uncharacterized. The record is from RefSeq and is a predicted model, not a curated record. Lineage: Eukaryota; Metazoa; Chordata; Mammalia; Chiroptera; Phyllostomidae. The transcript has 3 exons.